This 433-nucleotide unclassified non-coding RNA is filed under the name soil metagenome. RNAcentral's name for it is "partial contains 5.8S ribosomal RNA, internal transcribed spacer 2, and large subunit ribosomal RNA". The stretch from base 1 to 120 matches the Rfam family "5.8S ribosomal RNA", at positions 35 to 154 of the family's 154-position model. The record is from RNAcentral.
GAUGAAGAACGCAGUGAAAUGCGAUACGUAAUGUGAAUUACAGAAUUCAGUGAAUCAUCGAAUCUUUGAACGCAUAUUGCGCUCUCUGGUAUUCCGGAGAGCAUGCUUGUUUGAGUAUCAGUAAACACCUCAACUUCCAUAUCUUUUUUGAAAUGGGAGUUGGACUUGAGUGAUCCCAACGCUUUUCCUCACCGAAAAGUGGCGGGUUACUUGAAAUGCAGGUGCAGCUGGACUUUUCUCUGAGCUAUAAGCAUAUCUAUUUAGUCUGCCUAAAAAACAGAUUAUUACCUUUGCUGCAGCUAACAUAAAGGAGAUUAGUUCUUGUGCUGACUGAUGCAGGAUUCACAAAGACAGGCUUCGGCCGACUUUGUAAACUCGAUCUCAAAUCAAGUAAGACUACCCGCUGAACUUAAGCAUAUCAAUAAGCGGAGGA